Non-coding RNA from Triticum urartu, 115 nucleotides. NCBI's taxonomy places the organism in Eukaryota, Viridiplantae, Streptophyta, Magnoliopsida, Poales, Poaceae. The record is from Rfam.
UAAGUACUCUCUCCGUUCCGAAUUACUUGUCGCAUAUAUGGGUGUAUCUAGAUGUAUUUUAAUUCUAGAUAUAUCCAUUUCUGCGACGAGUAAUUUGGAACGGAGGGAAUAGUGG